This 818-nucleotide long non-coding RNA is filed under the name Erythranthe guttata (spotted monkey flower). Its description in RNAcentral is "long non-coding RNA (EGUT_LNC002738)". Lineage: Eukaryota; Viridiplantae; Streptophyta; Magnoliopsida; Lamiales; Phrymaceae. The record is from RNAcentral.
CCGCUAUAACUGUGAAAACCACUAUAUGAAAACAUCUAGAAACAUGAAAACCACUCUGCAUAAAAUAGCUAUAUAAACAUGAAAACCACUAUAUAUACACAAUUAUAUAAAUAUCGAAAACCACUAUGAAUUCUAACAAGAAAACAUCAAAAUUCUGCGAAAAAGACACCAUCUUCUCUCCAAAUGAACCCUAGAGUAUAGUCCGUGUAAUCAUCUUCUUCUCGUUAUUUGAAACGUAAACCACUAUUAGAAACGUAAACCACUACAAUGUCCAAGAAAAAAAUGCAAGACCAAUUAUAUUACGAAAAAUUAACGUAAUCCACUUUAAUAAUAACAUAAUCAACAACAAAGUUAUCGAAAUCCACAAAAAAAAUACGUAAAUCCACUACUUACACAACUAAAAAUAAGUACACCACCACCAACAAGGCCGACGAGGGUCGCUGACUCGCUGUAUCAAUAUGAUCAAGAAAAAAAUUAAUUUAUAAGAAUUAAUGAUCUUUUUCACAAUAUCAUUGUCAAAUAGGAACCUUCCCCACAAACCCUAAAACCAUGGAAUAAAGAUGAUUCAAUCGAAACAAAAAAAAAACAUUUACCUUUUUCUACCACCCAUAUAUAUCGUUCGUCAACGGUGAAGAGAGAGAAAAUAGUGGUGGGGGUUGGGGGCGGCGACGGGAGGGGGCUGGGCGGCUGGGGCGGGGGCUGGGCGGCGGUUGGGGCGGUGUCGGGAGGUGGUUGGGGCGUCGGCUGGGGCGUUGCCGGGUGGGGGUUGGGGCAGCGCCGGUGGGGAGAGAAGAAGAGGUGAACGAAAGUAGAUCUGC